GCCCUUGUAGCUCAGUAGGUAGAGCACAGCCUUGGUAAGGCUGAGGUCAGCGGUUCAAAUCCGCUCGGGGGCU
RNAcentral lists this transfer RNA (73 nucleotides) under Spirochaetaceae bacterium. Its description in RNAcentral is "tRNA-Thr". It matches the Rfam family "tRNA". From Rfam's summary of the family: Transfer RNA (tRNA) molecules are approximately 80 nucleotides in length. Their secondary structure includes four short double-helical elements and three loops (D, anti-codon, and T loops). Lineage: Bacteria; Pseudomonadati; Spirochaetota; Spirochaetia; Spirochaetales; Spirochaetaceae. The record is from RNAcentral. RNAcentral also lists the same sequence under 1 other name.